CGCGAGGCCGGGUUUCGGCUCGCUGAACGGGCGCCGGAUCAGGCAGCCGGCGACCCUUGUCAUCACGUUGCUCCAAGGAGGAUGUGGUCAUGAGGA
This 96-nucleotide small RNA is filed under the name Methylobacterium sp. Leaf99. RNAcentral's name for it is "Repression of heat shock gene expression (ROSE) element". It matches the Rfam family "Repression of heat shock gene expression (ROSE) element". Rfam says of the family: This family represents a 5' UTR cis-regulatory element found in heat shock mRNAs and is known as the ROSE (repression of heat shock gene expression) element. Lineage: Bacteria; Pseudomonadati; Pseudomonadota; Alphaproteobacteria; Hyphomicrobiales; Methylobacteriaceae. The record is from Rfam by way of RNAcentral.